UGACCUAUCCAUGGUCAGGAUGAAGCUAAAGUAAAAUUUAGUGGAGGUCCGAACUGAUUGUCGUUAAAAAGGCACCGGAUGAACUGUGGAUAGCGGAGAAAUUCCAAUCGAACUCGGAGAUAGCUGGUUCUCCUCGAAAUAGCUUUAGGGCUAGCCUUGAGCGAAGAUAAGUGGGGGUAGAGCACUGAAUGAUUUAGGGGCCUAACCAGGUUACCGACAUCUAUCAAACUGCGAAUACCAUUUAUUAAUACUCAGGAGUCAGACUGCGGGAGCUAAGUUCCGUGGUCAAAAGGGAAAGAGCCCAGACCGACAAUUAAGGUCCCAAAGAUAUAGUUAAGUGGAAAACGAUGUGAAUUUGCACAGACAACCAGGAUGUUGGCUCAGAAGCAGCCACUCAUUCAAAGAGUGCGUAAUAGCUCACUGGUCGAGUGAGUUUGCGCGGAAAAUUACCGGGGCUAAACUAUACACCGAAAUUGCGGAUUUGUUAUUGAAAGAUAUAGCAAGUGGUAGAGGAGCAUUCUAUAGUAGGACGAAGCUAAAGCGAGAGCAUUAGUGGACGAGGUAGAAGAGAGAAUGCUGGAAUAAGUAGCGAGAGCAAGGUGAGAAUCCUUGCCGUCGAAAGUCUAAGGUUUCCUGGGGAAGGUUCGUCCGCCCAGGGUAAGUCGGGACCUAAGGAGAGGCCGAAAGGCGUAUCUGAUGGAUAGCAGGUUGAAAUUCCUGCACUACGACCAUACUUAAAAGAUGCAAGGGACGCAGGAGAGGAAGAUAAGCGAGGAAGAGGAAAGACUCGUACCGAAAGGGAUAGUGAAAAUAUAAAGUAACGAAGUAUCAAGAAUCACACUGACGAGAAAAGCUUGUAGAGCUUGUAUGGUAGUACCCGUACCGCAAACCGACACAGGUAGAUGAGGAGAGGAUCCUAAGACGAGCGGGAGAAGCAUUGUUAAGGAACUCGGCAAAAUAACCCCGUAACUUCGGGAGAAGGGGAGCCUAAGUAACAUUAGGUCGCAGAGAAAAGGCCCAAGCAACUGUUUAACAAAAACACAGGUUUCUGCUAAAUCGAAAGAUGAAGUAUAGGAGCUGACGCCUGCCCAGUGCUGGAAGGUCAAGGGGAAGUGUAAUGAGAAAUCAGAAGCAUAGAACCAAAGCCCCAGUGAACGGCGGCCGUAACUAUAACGGUCCUAAGGUAGCGAAAUUCCUUGUCAGGUAAGUUCUGACCCGCACGAAAGGCGUAAUGAUUUGGGCACUGUCUCGACAAUGUACCCGGCGAAAUUGUAGUACUAGUGAAGAUGCUAGUUACCUGCGACAAGACAGAAAGACCCCAUGGAGCUUUACUGCAGUUUGAUACUGGGUUUCGAUAAGUUAUGUACAGGAUAGGUGGGAGACUGAGAAAGAAAGGCGUCAGCUUUUCCGGAGUCACCGUUGGGAUACCACCCUUAAUUUGUUGGAAUUCUAACUAGUGGUCAUGAUCUGGCCAGAGGACAAUGUCAGACGGGCAGUUUGACUGGGGCGGUCGCCUCCAAAAGAGUAACGGAGGCGCCCAAAGGUUCCCUCAGUGCGGACAGAAAUCGCACGAAAGAGUGUAAAGGCAGAAGGGAGCUUAACUGGAAGAUAGACAUAUCGAGCAGAUACGAAAGUAGGGCUUAGUGAUCCGGUGGAAAUUGAAUGGAAAAGCCAUCGCUCAACGGACAAAAGUUACCCUGGGGAUAACAGGCUUAUCUCCCCCAAGAGUUCACAUCGACGGGGAGGUUUGGCACCUCGAUGUCGGCUCAUCGCAUCCUGGAGCGGAAGUACGUUCCAAGGGUUGGGCUGUUCGCCCAUUAAAGCGGUACGCGAGCUGGGUUCAGAACGUCGUGAGACAGUUCGGUCCUUAUCUGUCGCAGGCGUAGGAUAUUUGAAGGGAGCUGUCCUUAGUACGAGAGGACCAGGAUGGACAUACCGAUGGUGUAUCAGUUGUCACACCAGUGGCACGGCUGAGUAGCUAAGUAUGGAAGGGAUAAACGCUGAAAGCAUCUAAGUGUGAAGCCCACCUUAAGAUAAGAUAUCCCAUUGC
This 2050-nucleotide ribosomal RNA is filed under the name metagenome. RNAcentral's name for it is "bacterial LSU rRNA". It matches the Rfam family "Bacterial large subunit ribosomal RNA", at positions 726 to 2820 of the family's 2925-position model. The record is from RNAcentral.